RNAcentral lists this long non-coding RNA (282 nucleotides) under Brassica napus (rape). RNAcentral's name for it is "long non-coding RNA (BNAP_LNC024601)". Lineage: Eukaryota; Viridiplantae; Streptophyta; Magnoliopsida; Brassicales; Brassicaceae. The record is from RNAcentral.
UUUGGGAUGCCUUCUUCUGAAGUCAUUGACAUACAAACUUAAUUCAGAAUUGGGUUGACUGAGUGUUACUGUUUAAAGGCUACAUGCCUAAGUAACCAUAUAGUUAUAUCUGUUCUAUUAAACAGUACUAUUAGUUUGGUGUUAUUUGUUAAGUGGGUGUAGGAGCAUUAAGUGUGUCUACCAGCCCUGACAUUAAAGGUAGGAAGAUAUUUUCUUUAUCUCACAUUUCUUAAUUUUCAGCUAAUUGUUAAGUUCAAGUUGUUGAAUCACUUAUUACGUCUG